RNAcentral lists this ribosomal RNA (484 nucleotides) under uncultured bacterium. Its description in RNAcentral is "partial 16S ribosomal RNA". It matches the Rfam family "Bacterial small subunit ribosomal RNA", at positions 28 to 507 of the family's 1533-position model. The record is from RNAcentral.
AUUGAACGCUGGCGGCAUGCUUUACACAUGCAAGUCGAACGGCAGCGCGGGCUUCGGCCUGGCGGCGAGUGGCGAACGGGUGAGUAAUGCAUCGGAACGUGCCCAGUAGUGGGGGAUAGCCCGGCGAAAGCCGGAUUAAUACCGCAUACGACCUGAGGGUGAAAGCGGGGGACCGAAAGGCCUCGCGCUAUUGGAGCGGCCGAUGUCGGAUUAGCUAGUUGGUGGGGUAAAGGCUUACCAAGGCGACGAUCCGUAGCUGGUCUGAGAGGACGACCAGCCAAACGGGGACUUGGGCCAGGACCAGACUCCUACGGGAGGCAGCAGUGGGGAAUUUUGGACAAUGGGGGCAACCCUGAUCCAGCCAUGCCGCGUGCGGGAAGAAGGCCUUCGGGUUGUAAACCGCUUUUGUUCGGGAAGAAAUCCUCUGGGCUAAUACCCCGGGGGGAUGACGGUACCGGAAGAAUAAGCACCGGCUAACUACGUG